GAUACAAUCUUUAAAAAGAAUCUUGACUUUUGCUUCUAGCCACAGGAGAAUAACAGCGUCUGGAAUUACCAUUCUGCCACAAAAAAACCGGAACCCUGGAACCCAAAUCAUAACAGUUUUGAGACACUGGACAUCGGGCCGCACAGGACUGUUAUCACUGAAGGGAAGGACACAGAUGAGGUCCCAAGCAAACGAUUCAUGUGUAAACUUGAAUCACCAUGUAUCCUGAAGAUGGGAAAGAUCAUCCCUGUGACACAGCUCUCAUCCAAGUUGACGUUUAACUCUCACAAACUCUUUGCCAGCUCUGCCUACAUGAUAUGCUACCAUCUAAGUGACAGGCACGUGCAAUCCCCUUGGCAAAUGGAGAAAACAGAAAAGGAGUGUGAAAAGGCAGGGGUUAAGGCGUGCUUUGCAUAAACGGCUAUUUGCAAAUCUUGUCUGAAAGCAAGACAAGUGUUUAAUCCGUGCUCUCCAGUAACAGAGGGAGACUAGGCUCUGGGCGGAAAUCUGUGAGAUAGUUGGAGACCACUUUCAACCAUGUCCUGCUUCUGGUUUCAAAGAUACCUCCUCUCUGGCUGGGGAGUGAACAGUAGCUUUCCGUCUUCCACCUCCCCCCAGUCAGCUCAUGGUGACUAAAGAAGAAAAGGAUUUCAGCUGGAGAGGACUCCCCAAGAAACCCAACUGAUCCCUCUCAGUGUCCCUUCAACUGUGAAUCUGUAGCUGUCAUUGGAAAGCCAUCCCUUAAUCCCAAUGGAUUAAAGAAGUC
This is a long non-coding RNA of Neofelis nebulosa (Clouded leopard), 766 nucleotides long. RefSeq lists it as uncharacterized. The record is from RefSeq and is a predicted model, not a curated record. The transcript is spliced from 3 exons. NCBI's taxonomy places the organism in Eukaryota, Metazoa, Chordata, Mammalia, Carnivora, Felidae.